This 301-nucleotide ribosomal RNA is filed under the name uncultured bacterium. Its description in RNAcentral is "partial 16S ribosomal RNA". It matches the Rfam family "Bacterial small subunit ribosomal RNA", at positions 509 to 807 of the family's 1533-position model. The record is from RNAcentral.
CAGUAGCCGCGGGAAUACGAAGGGUGCAAGCGUUAAUCGGAAUUACUGGGCGUAAAGCGUGCGUAGGCGGUGAGUUAAGUCUGCUGUGAAAUCCCCGGGCUCAACCUGGGAAUGGCAGUGGAUACUGGCUCGCUAGAGUGUGUCAGAGGAUGGUGGAAUUCCCGGUGUAGAGGUGAAAUUCGUAGAUAUUCGGAAGAACACCAGUGGCGAAGGCGGCUCACUGGCUCAUACUGGACGCUGGGGUGCGAAAGCGUGGGGAGCAAACAGGAUUAGAUACCCGCGUAGUCCCUGUCUCUUAUAC